ACCGAAUAGAUACCCAGGUAGUCCUAGCCGUAAACGAUGCUCGCUAGGUGUCACAACAGUCGUGAAACUGUUGUGGUGCCGUAGGGAAGCCGUGAAGCGAGCCACUUGGGAAGUACGACCGCAAGGUUGAAACUUAAAGGAAUUGGCGGGGGAGCACCACAACGGGUGGAGCCUGCGGUUUAAUUGGACUCAACGCCGGGAAGCUUACCGGGAUCGACAGUUGUAUGAAGGCCAGGCUGAAGACCUUGCCGGACUAUCUGAGAGGAGGUGCAUGGCCGCCGUCAGUUCGUACCGUGGGGCGUCCUGUUAAGUCAGGCAACGAGCGAGACCCAUGCCCACUGUUGCUAACGCGUCCCGCAAGGGAUGGCGAGUACACGGUGGGGACCGCUGGCGCUAAGUCAGAGGAAGGGGUGGUCGACGGUAGGUCAGUAUGCCCCGGAAUAUCCCGGGGCUACACGCGGGGCUACAAUGGACAGGGACAAUGGGCUACUACACCGAAACGGUGGCGUCAAUCUCUUAAACCUGUCCUUAGUUCGGAUCGAGGGCUGUAACUCGCCCU
Molecule: ribosomal RNA, 559 nt
Filed under: uncultured bacterium
Lineage: Bacteria
Description: bacterial SSU rRNA
Rfam family: Archaeal small subunit ribosomal RNA
Source: RNAcentral